GCGUUCGGAGCAGAGGAAGGUGUGACAUGUCCCAGGUGUGUGUUAUCCGGACGGUGCGGGGGAGCCCGGGGGCAGCCGAGCUGCGGGAUGAGCUCUCCCGCACAGACCCGGCUCCUGUCAUUAAAUAACACCCACCGUCCGACCCUCCUGUCGCACCAGUGUCACCCCCCCGACCUGCAUUAACCUGAUUUUUGUCUCCUUUGCCAGUUCGAGAUCCAGUGGAUGGUGAUUCACUGCGACCCGCUGCGGCCCCAGCGCGAAGGCUGCGGGGAGCUGCCGGCCCGGGUGAGCCCCCGACCCCGCCCGCGGGACACUCGCUCUUACUCUCCAUUUCUGGCCCCAAACGCCUGUUUUUACCAUACCUGCCUGGAAUUGGGUCCCUUUAGCAACCCACCCCUCCCCAGAGCAGCCGCCUCAUUUUAACCCUUCCGUGACUGACGUUCUCACCCCCCCACAGCCACUCCCGGGGCAGGCGGCCGGCGGCUCUGCCUCGCCCGGGGGUUUUGGCGGCCGCCGCCUCAGCGGGGAGCCCGACGGCGGGGAACCCGUGGCGGGGGCGGUGGGCAGGCGGGGGUGGGUGCCCACCAGAACAGCAGCAGGGCAAAGGGUUAAGGCGCUGCCUUCUGGCAUUCAGUCCUCCCCUUCCCAGCCUUCAGCCUUCCCCCAGUCCCCGCGACCCUCCCCCGAGGCGUUCGCCCGCCGCCUUGAGGGGCUGCAGCCGCCGGGCCCACCUUUCGGCAGCCGCCCGCCCCAGCCGCCGCCGGCCGGUCCCCCCCAUCGCCAUGGCCCCGGCUCUGCGCGGCCUCUGGCUGCCGGGGCUUUUCCUGCAGGUUGUUUGCCUCUGUCUGGCUCAAGUAAGUUCAUUCCGAGUUUUGACUCUGUUUUUUCUCCUUCGCAGAUCAGCCAGACGGUAAUCGAGAGAGGUCUCCCCGGUCCACCAGGCCCCCCGGGUCCGCCGGGGCCACCAGGAGUUCCUGGUAUUGAUGGCAUAGAUGGGGAGAGAGGUCCGAACGGCCCCCCUGGUCCACCGGGUCCAGAUGGGGAUGCAGGCAAACCAGGAUCCCCUGGCCUGCCUGGAGAGCCAGGAGCUGAUGUGAGUACACACUUGAUUUCUUGAUUUCUUUAAUUUCCUUUUUUUUUUUUUUUUUUGAAAAAUACUUGGGUUUAGUCUAUUGCUG
RNAcentral lists this long non-coding RNA (1178 nucleotides) under Calidris pugnax (ruff). Its description in RNAcentral is "lncRNA (ENSCPUG00000015033.1)". The record is from RNAcentral. Lineage: Eukaryota; Metazoa; Chordata; Aves; Charadriiformes; Scolopacidae.